GACGAACGCUGGCGGCGUGCUUAACACAUGCAAGUCGAACGAAGAGCGAUGGACGCUUGCUUCUAUCAAUCUUAGUGGCGAACGGGUGAGUAACGCGUAAUCAACCUGCCCUUCAGAGGGGGACAACAGUUGGAAACGACUGCUAAUACCGCAUACGAUCUAAUCUCGGCAUCGAGGAUAGAUGAAAGGUGGCCUCUACAUGUAAGCUAUCACUGAAGGAGGGGAUUGCGUCUGAUUAGCUAGUUGGAGGGGUAACGGCCCACCAAGGCGAUGAUCAGUAGCCGGUCUGAGAGGAUGAACGGCCACAUUGGGACUGAGACACGGCCCAGACUCCUACGGGAGGCAGCAGUGGGGAAUCUUCCGCAAUGGACGAAAGUCUGACGGAGCAACGCCGCGUGAGUGAUGACGGCCUUCGGGUUGUAAAGCUCUGUUAAUCGGGACGAAAGGCCUUCUUGCGAAUAGUGAGAAGGAUUGACGGUACCGUAAUAGAAAGCCACGGCUAACUACGUG
RNAcentral lists this ribosomal RNA (510 nucleotides) under uncultured bacterium. RNAcentral's name for it is "partial 16S ribosomal RNA". It matches the Rfam family "Bacterial small subunit ribosomal RNA", at positions 28 to 507 of the family's 1533-position model. The record is from RNAcentral.